GGGGGGCUUACCAUGCAAGUCGAGCGGAAUAUUAAAUUUGAGAGCUUCGGCCGGAUGAUUUCAUAUUUUAGCGGCGGACGGGUGAGUAACGUGUGGGCAACCUGCCCUGUACUGUGGAAUAAUCACUGGAAACGGUGACUAAUACCGCAUGUCAUUGCGAGAGGGCAUCCUCUUGCAAGAAAAGGAUUUAUUCGGUACAGGAUGGGCCCGCAUCUGAUUAGCUAGUUGGUGAGAUAACAGCUCACCAAGGCAAUGAUCAGUAGCCGACCUGAGAGGGUGAUCGGCCACAUUGGGACUGAGACACGGCCCAAACUCCUACGGGAGGCAGCAGUGGGGAAUAUUGCACAAUGGGCGAAAGCCUGAUGCAGCAACGCCGCGUGAAGGAAGAAGGGUUUCGGCUCGUAAACUUCUAUCAACAGGGACGAAAAAAAUGACGGUACCUGAAUAAGAAGCCCCGGCUAACUACGUGCCAGCAGCCGCGGUAAUACGUAGGGGGCAAGCGUUAUCCGGAAUUACUGGGUGUAAAGGGAGAGUAGGCGGCAUGGUAAGUUAGAUGUGAAAGCCCGAGGCUUAACCUCGGGAUUGCAUUUAAAACUAUCAAGCUAGAGUACAGGAGAGGUAAGUGGAAUUCCUAGUGUAGCGGUGAAAUGCGUAGAUAUUAGGAAGAACACCAGUGGCGAAGGCGACUUACUGGACUGAAACUGACGCUGAGGCUCGAAAGCGUGGGGAGCGAACAGGAUUAGAUACCCUGGUAGUCCACGCCGUAAACGAUGAGUGCUAGGUGUCGGGGGGGAACCCUCGGUGCCGCAGCUAACGCAAUAAGCACUCCACCUGGGGAGUACGAUCGCAAGAUUGAAACUCAAAGGAAUUGACGGGGGCCCGCACAAGCGGUGGAGCAUGUGGUUUAAUUCGAAGCAACGCGAAGAACCUUACCAAGGCUUGACA
This 945-nucleotide ribosomal RNA is filed under the name Anaerotignum propionicum. Its description in RNAcentral is "bacterial SSU rRNA". It matches the Rfam family "Bacterial small subunit ribosomal RNA", at positions 41 to 986 of the family's 1533-position model. The record is from RNAcentral. Lineage: Bacteria; Bacillati; Bacillota; Clostridia; Lachnospirales; Anaerotignaceae.